Molecule: ribosomal RNA, 121 nt
Filed under: Notamacropus eugenii (tammar wallaby)
Lineage: Eukaryota; Metazoa; Chordata; Mammalia; Diprotodontia; Macropodidae
Source: RNAcentral
ACAUGUGAAUAUACCUGCUUGAAGGUGUCUGACCUCACAUCAUCUCAGAAGCUAAGCAAGGUCAGGCUUAGAUAACAUGUGGAUAAGAGACUGCCUGGGAAUAUUUGAUACUUCCCCUGAG